Long non-coding RNA from Oncorhynchus gorbuscha (pink salmon), 2297 nucleotides. RefSeq lists it as uncharacterized. The record is from RefSeq and is a predicted model, not a curated record. The transcript is spliced from 4 exons. NCBI's taxonomy places the organism in Eukaryota, Metazoa, Chordata, Actinopteri, Salmoniformes, Salmonidae.
UUUUAUCCAAAGCGACUUACAGUCAUGUGUGCAUACAUUCUACGUAUGGGUGGUCCCGGGGAUCGAACCCACUACCCUGGCGUUACAAGCGCCAUGCUCUACCAACUGAGCUACAGAAGGACCACUAAUUAAUUUGAGAAGGGUGGUGGAGGGUCCAAAUAAAGCCAAAUAAAACCAAAAUGUUAUAAAAUAUCAACAAAUUCAUCGUCAUUAUCCCCCAUGUUGUUUCACCUCCGCUUCUGGGAGGAGCCAGGCGAGGCCACAGAUCAGACUCCUCCAUCUCAUCCCACCAACUCUGUCAGUCCACCAGGCCACUGCAGUAACAGCCACAUCUUCACGUCACGUAGCUUCAGUACCAUCUCAUCCCACCAACUCUGUCAGUCCACCAGGCCACUGCAGUAACAGCCACAUCUUCACAUCACAAAGCUUCAGUACCAUCUCAAUGUGUUGAAGUACCAUCCAGGAUCCUGUGGCAACGUCAAUGUGAAACAGCAUUGACCCGUGAUCACCACCAACCAGAGCUCCACAGCAGUUGCCUUGGACACCCAGUGAAACAGCACUGACCCGUGAUCACCACCAACCAGGGAUCCACAGCGGUUGCCUUGGACACCCAGUGAAACAGCACUGACCCGUGAUCACCACCAACCAGAGCUCCACAGCGGUUGCCUUGGACACCCAGUGAAACAGCACUGACCCGUGAUCACCACCAACCAGGGAUCCACAGCGGUUGCCUUGGACACCCAGUCUUCACUCAAGAUCGUCAAAAGGACAUUUGGAAGGAUCCCAUUGAGCAAAGUAAACAACGAUAUGUUUUUUCAUGUCUUUUGCUCGUAGGGAUGACUUCCCGAGAGAGAACACCAGGCAGCAUGGAGCACUUUGAUGUGAUUGGCUGUUCAGCAGGAAGUUUCAUCUGGCUACACAGAAGGGAUGAUGAAUCUGACAGAAUGGUUUUUUUAAAUACAUAUUUAAAAAAGAUGAAAAGUACAGAAUGACUCGAUUGAUCAAUUAAUAACACAACUGUUUUUUUAAAUACAUGGAAUAAUGUGAUUAGUCAAGGUACAGAGUUCCUCUGUCCAGUGUCUGUUAUUUUGCCCAUCUUAAUCUUUUAUUGGCCAGUCUGAGAUAUGGCUUGUUCGGUGUAACUCUGCCUAGACGGCCAAUUUCAAAUUUUGAAGUGACCCCAAACGUUUGAACGGUAGUGUACACUACCAGUCAAAAGGUUUGGACACACCUACUCAUUCAAUAAAAAUAAAAAUAAACUAUUUUCUACACUGUAGAAUAAUAGUGGAGACAUCAAAACUAUGAAAUAACACAUAUGGAAUCAUGUAGUAACCAAAGAAGUGUUAAUCAAAUCAAAAUAUGUUUUAUAUUAUAGAUUCUUCAAGGUAGCCACCCUUUUGCCUUGAUCUAUUAGAUGCUAUAGACUAUGUUCAGUUUAGUAUAGGAGUUUAGUAUAGGAGUUUAGUAUAGGAGUUUAGUAUAGGAGUUUAGUAUAGGAGUUUAGUAUAGGAGUUUAGUAUAGGAGUUUAGUAUAGGAGUUUAGUAUAUUCUACCUUGUUUGUGCGCUAUGACCUCACAGACCCGAUACACAUAACCACAAGUAGGAAACAAGGUAGCAUAUGAUUCUCCCAUCUGACAGGGAGGGGUGGAACCAACCAUGAAUAAACUGUUUUGUGUUUUCUGUAUUAUUGGGCUCUCAAUGAUCACCUACGGGAGGUCGUUGACCAGCUCCAUAAUUGAUCACCUACGGGAGGUCGUUGACCAGCUCCAUAAUUGAUCACCUACGGGAGGUCGUUGACCAGCUCCGUUAUUGAUCACCUACGGGAGGUCGUUGACCAGCUCCAUAAUUGAUCACCUACGGGAGGUCGUUGACCAGCUCCGUUAUUGAUUACCUACGGGAGGUCGUUGACCAGCUCCGUUAUUGAUCACCUACGGGAGGUUGUUGACCAGCUCCAUAAUUGAUCACCUACGGGAGGUCGUUGACCAGCUCCGUUAUUGAUCACCUACGGGAGGUCGUUGACCAGCUCCGUUAUUGAUUACCUAAGGGAGGUCGUUGACCAGAUCCAUUAUUGAUCACCUACGGGAGGUCGUUGACCAGCUCCGUUAUUGAUCACCUACGGGAGGUCGUUGACCAGCUCCAUUAUUGUUCACCUACGGGAGGUCGUUGACCAGCUCCAUUAUUGAUUACCUACGGGAGGUCGUUGACCAGCUCCAUUAUUGAUCACCUACGGGAGGUCGUUGACCAGCUCCAUUAUUGCAAUAAUUAAUCAAUAUUAAAGGUUGAUUGUUUGAAGAAA